AACGAACGCUGGCGGCAUGCCUAACACAUGCAAGUCGAACGAGACCUUCGGGUCUAGUGGCGCACGGGUGCGUAACGCGUGGGAAUCUGCCCUUGGGUUCGGAAUAACAGCUAGAAAUGGCUGCUAAUACCGAGUAAUGACGUAAGUCCAAAGAUUUAUCGCCCAAGGAUGAGCCCGCGUAGGAUUAGCUAGUUGGUGAGGUAAAAGCUCACCAAGGCGACGAUCCUUAGCUGGUCUGAGAGGAUGAUCAGCCACACUGGGACUGAGACACGGCCCAGACUCCUACGGGAGGCAGCAGUGGGGAAUAUUGGACAAUGGGCGAAAGCCUGAUCCAGCAAUGCCGCGUGAGUGAUGAAGGCCUUAGGGUUGUAAAGCUCUUUUACCCGGGAUGAUAAUGACAGUACCGGGAGAAUAAGCUCCGGCUAACUCCGUGCCAGCAGCCGCGGUAAUACGGAGGGAGCUAGCGUUGUUCGGAAUUACUGGGCGCAAAGCGCACGUAGGCGGCUUUGCAAGUUAGAGGUGAAAGCCUGGGGCUCAACCCCAGAAUUGCCUUUAAGACUGCAUCGCUAGAAUCCAGGAGAGGUGAGUGGAAUUCCGAGUGUAGAGGUGAAAUUCGUAGAUAUUCGGAAGAACACCAGUGGCGAAGGCGGCUCACUGGACUGGUAUUGACGCUGAGGUGCGAAAGCGUGGGGAGCAAACAGG
RNAcentral lists this ribosomal RNA (702 nucleotides) under uncultured Sphingomonadaceae bacterium. RNAcentral describes it as "bacterial SSU rRNA". It matches the Rfam family "Bacterial small subunit ribosomal RNA", at positions 28 to 776 of the family's 1533-position model. Lineage: Bacteria; Pseudomonadati; Pseudomonadota; Alphaproteobacteria; Sphingomonadales; Sphingomonadaceae. The record is from RNAcentral.